This 2931-nucleotide long non-coding RNA is filed under the name Solanum tuberosum (potato). Its description in RNAcentral is "long non-coding RNA (STUB_LNC006996)". Lineage: Eukaryota; Viridiplantae; Streptophyta; Magnoliopsida; Solanales; Solanaceae. The record is from RNAcentral.
CAAAACGACCCCUGCAUCCUCUUUCUUCUUCACCAACACGUGAAUGCACUGCAAAAUCCAGAAACGUCAACAACAACUGGUAAACGUCAACAAUAGUUGCCCUUCACCAAACCGUUCCAACAGCUCCCACGGCCUUUCUCUGCAACAACCGCCCACCUUGAUCUAGUCAUCCGGAUUUUAGGGGAUUUUGGUUGAAAUCUUAUACCAAGAACAACUUUUCCCCUUCCUUUGGGGAAAUUUUUUUGAAUUGCGAGUUUGAGCUUCAAAUUCCUAUUCUACCCUUUUCCCACUCGAUUUUUCCAGAUUUUCCCUUCUAUAUAUAUCCUCUCAUUCUUCAAAGGGAGGAAGAAGGGGAAAAAAGAUUAAGAAUUAGCUAAGUGUUGAGAGGAAGAAAUAUAUCUAAACCAAUAAAUUUUUGAAGUUGUUUGAAUCAGUUUUGGCUCUCGCUCGUUUUUGUCUUGAUCAUUCUAGUUUUUCGAAGUCGUGUUUCGGUGUGAAAUUGGUUGCUCAUCUCAAGCUUGUCGUCCCACCUCGCUGCUCCAAGAAAGGUAAUCUCUUCCCAUUUUUAGUUGUUUCAUAUUUCCCCUAGUUCCCUAUUAGUGUUCAAUUUCCCAGAAUGCUUAUUAUGUGGCUUUCAAUAGUUUUGUCGUUUUAGUUUUCGAGUAUGUAUAGUUUUAUCAGAUGGUUAAUGUCUCGACGUUGUUAUCUGCUUAAGUGCUUAGCUAGACACAUUUGCGACAAAAUGACGUGUUCAUUUAGCUUGACCUCUCUGUUUUAAUGUGUUGAUUUUUUUUUAAUUUUUUUUAAAAAAAGUCUCAAAUUGUAAGCUUGUUAGUUUUGUUUCAUUCAUGGUGGUUUAGGUAUGAGUGUAGUCUUUGCUCACUUGGGUUGUUAGUUCCUUAUGAGUCUUGACCGUUGAACUAGUAAUGUUGUUGGUGUUUGUGCACUAGGAUUCUUUCUAUCCUUAUUUACGAAUAACGUAAUUAAGGUUUUGCUCGUUACUUUCACAAAUAUGCCAGAUUCUGAUGCCUCUGUUUUGGUCGAUGCUACCCUUGUGUUUUUAGUUAAUAGUUUGCAAUAUUUACCGACUUGUUUGAUGCCGGAUUGUCAACCUUGUCUCUUAGUCCUAUUGCCUUCAUUUAAAGUAUUUAAGAGCCUGAAUUUAUGUGUCAGAUAAUUUGAUAAUAAAAGAAUAGUUUCACAUUCCUUUCCUUCCCACUUUACACAUAAACAUUGAUACUUCCGUUUAAAGUAUAGCACAUCAUGCACCUGCAAUAGAUUUUUUUUUUCUUACUGCCAAUACAAUAAUUGUUGCUAUUACAAUCUUAUCAAUUUUAUGUUUCAUAGAAAAGAUGAGAUAUGUGGAUGUAAUUAGCUGUUCCCUCUGCCUCCUAACUUAUCAGCUUCUCUGUUUUAAUAUUCAUGUUCAUUAGUCUAAUAUUUGUGAUAUGUAGUUAAUGUGCAUGUUUUGGUUGUAGUGUGGUAGUUAUAUAUAAAUUUUAUCUAUUUCAUAUCAUGGUCAAUUCUGUAUGUAUACUCAAGAACAAAUACCUCUAUGCUUAGAUCUAUUAUUGAGGGACCUUUGGUAAGUAUUUUCAUCGGUUUUUAACUAAAUAUCAUACUCCAAGGAUGGAUGACAGUUAGUGUUAUGUUUUUUUUUUAAUUUUAUAUAUCACGUAAAACUACACUAUCAAUACCAUACAUUCCCGGGAGUUCAUGAUAAAAUUUAUUAAUAGAUUAGAAGGAAGAAGGUGUUAUACUAGAGAUUUCAUUUUAAAUAAAUGAUUAUGGUAUGUUAGAGCAUCCUUUUAAAAAAAUAAAAAAUAAAAAAAAUGCACAGCAACCUUCUUUAGGCUUUUUUUCUUGGAUAAAUGUGAUUGUUUGAGACCGAAGAUUGUUUGAGACUGAAGCAUUGUUAUCUUUCGGUUUUAAUGACAAAAAGCUAAAGUUCUUAUUUGAGCUCCAAAAAUAAGAAUGUAUUCCUCUCCUUGAAGUUAUUUUCCAGUUUUUUUUUAAUAAAAUGCUUUAGCAUACCUCUAACCAUUCCCUUGUUUUAAAUAUACGAUUAAAAUAUAACAUUAACCGGCAACUAAGGUCUCUCGGAUCAGACUUGGUAAUGGUCUUUAGAAUUUUUCUUGUCUUAAUUAAACUAGCUUUCAUAUUGUGCAAAAAAAAAAAAAAAAAAAAAAAAUUCCUUUCCGAGAUUUCUGUUAGACUUAGUAUUGUUCUUAAAUUUGAGAUAAAACAUGUCUGCUUGAAUUUUUUUUUAGUGGUCAAUGAUUUAAGUUCUAUCUUGUUGUGAUCUUAUAUGUUAAAUUAUUUGUUGUCGAUUUACCCAAGCAUAUGGUUUGUUAACUCCCUUUUUCCUUUAUACCAUGCAUGUGAUAUUGAGUCCACCGGACUCCAAUCCUUCCUUCCUUGCAUCUCUUUUGUUUGUUGGGAUGAACCCAACAACUCUCCGAGUCAGCCCCUAUACAUUCGGAAGCUGCUAUAGGUCCCGGAGACCCAACACUGCUGGAAAUUAGUUUAUAAAUGGUCAAAAGCCCAAGGAAUGGGCUGUAUAUGUAUACAUCAGUAUACACUCAUUAUACAUCGAAUUACAGGUCAUAAAUGCGAAAAUAUAGAGAUGAGGUAAAAUACAAGUGUUCGGGAGCAGGAGAUACACGGAAAGAGCUGAUAUACAUGCUGAUAUACAUCAGGUGUAUACAAAAAUGGGUUUAGGAUUAAAUCCCAAAAAUUCCAGCAAAUUUGGCCCAAAAGGAGGCCCAAAUUCAAUUUUCUCCCUUACUCUUUAAUUAUUUAAUUGUGACUAUUUAUUGUUUGUUGUUUAAUUCUAACUUUAUAAUUUUUAAUUAACUUAAUUAGAUUCCCCAAAAGAUGAGUUAUUUUCUUUGUGUCGGUUUAAUUCUAAUACAUUUCAUUUUUUGUGUU